Molecule: ribosomal RNA, 513 nt
Filed under: Lysinibacillus sp.
Lineage: Bacteria; Bacillati; Bacillota; Bacilli; Caryophanales; Bacillaceae
Description: bacterial SSU rRNA
Rfam family: Bacterial small subunit ribosomal RNA
Source: RNAcentral
GGGGGGGGGGUGCUAUACAUGCAGUCGAGCGAACAGAGAAGGAGCUUGCUCCCUUUGACGUUAGCGGCGGACGGGUGAGUAACACGUGGGCAACCUACCUUAUAGUUUGGGAUAACUCCGGGAAACCGGGGCUAAUACCGAAUAAUCUGUUUCACCUCAUGGUGAAAUAUUGAAAGACGGUUUCGGCUGUCGCUAUAGGAUGGGCCCGCGGCGCAUUAGCUAGUUGGUGAGGUAACGGCUCACCAAGGCGACGAUGCGUAGCCGACCUGAGAGGGUGAUCGGCCACACUGGGACUGAGACACGGCCCAGACUCCUACGGGAGGCAGCAGUAGGGAAUCUUCCACAAUGGGCGAAAGCCUGAUGGAGCAACGCCGCGUGAGUGAAGAAGGAUUUCGGUUCGUAAAACUCUGUUGUAAGGGAAGAACAAGUACAGUAGUAACUGGCUGUACCUUGACGGUACCUUAUUAGAAAGCCACGGCUAACUACGUGCCAGCCGCCCGGGGGUAAAUACAA